CCUACGGGUGACAGCAGUGGGGAAUAUUGCUCAAUGGGCGCGAGCCUGAUCCAGCCAAGUCGCGUGAGGGAUGACGGCCCUACGGUUGGUAAACCUCUUUUUCCAGGGAGCAACUGACGCUACUUGUGGCGCCACCCCCGGCUAACUACGUGCCAGCAGCCGCGGUAAUACGUAGGGGGCCAGCGUUAUCCGGAAUUACUGGGCGGAAAGGGUGCGUAGGUGGUUUCUUAAGUCAGAGGUGAAAGGCUAGGGCUCAACCGUAGUAAGCCUUUGAAACUGGGGAACUUGAGUGCAGGAGAGGAGAGUGGAAUUCGUAGUGUAGCGGUGAAAUGCGUAGAUAUUAGGAGGAACACCGGUUGCGAAGGCAGCACUCUGGACUGUAACUGACGCUGAGGCACGAAAGCGUGGGGAGCGAACAGGAUUAGAUACCCCAGUAGUC
This 439-nucleotide ribosomal RNA is filed under the name uncultured bacterium. Its description in RNAcentral is "partial 16S ribosomal RNA". It matches the Rfam family "Bacterial small subunit ribosomal RNA", at positions 338 to 795 of the family's 1533-position model. The record is from RNAcentral.